RNAcentral lists this microRNA precursor (168 nucleotides) under Pelobates cultripes (western spadefoot toad). The record is from RNAcentral. Lineage: Eukaryota; Metazoa; Chordata; Amphibia; Anura; Pelobatidae.
GCAGACACAUUCCAGCCAAUCAGCAGCAGACCCUCCCUCCCAGACCCUCCCACCUCCUGGACAGCUCACUAAGAAUGCAGCUUCACAAUGAAUGUAAAAUGGAUGCUGUCCAGGAGGUGGGAGGGUCUGGGAAGGAGGGUCUGCUGCUGAUUGGCUGGAAUGUGUCUG